This 61-nucleotide ribosomal RNA is filed under the name uncultured bacterium. RNAcentral's name for it is "partial 16S ribosomal RNA". The record is from RNAcentral.
AGUGCGCCCAACCCGACCGAAGGGGGCGAGCUGACCACGGUAGGCUCAGCGACUGGGGUGG